ACGUACAGCCAUACCACUUUGAACGUGCCCAAUCUCGUCUGAUCUCGGGAGCUGAGCAGGGUUGGGUCUGGUUUACACUCAGAUGGAGACAUGCCUUUUAGAUCUAGCUUCAUCAGGCAUCGGCUAUGUGUU
Molecule: ribosomal RNA, 132 nt
Organism: Propithecus coquereli (Coquerel's sifaka)
Lineage: Eukaryota; Metazoa; Chordata; Mammalia; Primates; Indriidae
Source: Ensembl